AACGAACGCUGGCGGCGUGCCUUAAGCAUGCAAGUCGAACGAAGAAAUUUCCUCCGGGAAUGAUUUUAGUGGCGAACGGGUGAGUAACACGUAGUUAAUUGCCUCAAAGUUGGGGAUAGCCAUGGGAAACCAUGGGUAAUACCCGAUGUGCUCUACGGAGUAAAGUAGCAAUACGCUUUGAGAGACGACUGCGGCCCAUCAGGUAGUUGGUAAGGUAACGGCUUACCAAGCCGAUGACGGGUAGCCGGCCUGAGAGGGUGAACGGCCACAUUGGAACUGAGAUACGGUCCAGACUCCUACGGGAGGCAGCAGCUAGGAAUCUUCCACAAUGGGCGAAAGCCUGAUGGAGCGACGCCGCGUGAAGGAUGAAGGCAUUUCGGUGUUGUAAACUUCUUUUCUAUGGGAAGAUAAUGACGGUACCAUAGGAAUAAGUCCCGGCUAACUACGUGCCAGCCGCCGCGGUAAU
RNAcentral lists this ribosomal RNA (466 nucleotides) under uncultured bacterium. RNAcentral's name for it is "bacterial SSU rRNA". It matches the Rfam family "Bacterial small subunit ribosomal RNA", at positions 29 to 524 of the family's 1533-position model. The record is from RNAcentral.